Molecule: ribosomal RNA, 521 nt
Filed under: uncultured bacterium
Lineage: Bacteria
Description: bacterial SSU rRNA
Rfam family: Bacterial small subunit ribosomal RNA
Source: RNAcentral
UCCNCCUGGGGAGUACGACCGCAAGGUUGAAACUCAAAGGAAUUGACGGGGGCCCGCNCNANCGGUGGAGCAUGUGGUUUAAUUCGAAGCAACGCGAAGAACCUUACCAGGUCUUGACAUCCCGAUGCUAUUCUUAGAGAUAGGAAGUUACUUCGGUACAUCGGAGACAGGUGGUGCAUGGUUGUUGUCAGCUCGUGUCGUGAGAUGUUGGGUUAAGUCCCGCAACGAGCGCAACCCUUAUUGUUAGUUGCCAUCAUUAAGUUGGGCACUCUAGCGAGACUGCCGGUAAUAAACCGGAGGAAGGUGGGGAUGACGUCAAAUCAUCAUGCCCCUUAUGACCUGGGCUACACACGUGCUACAAUGGUCGGUACAACGAGUUGCGAGCCGGUGACGGCAAGCUAAUCUCUGAAAGCCGAUCUCAGUUCGGAUUGGAGGCUGCAACUCGCCUCCAUGAAGUCGGAAUCGCUAGUAAUCGCGGAUCAGCACGCCGCGGUGAAUACGUUCCCGGGCCUUGUACACAC